ANACUGCAGUCGACGAGCUUCCGUUGAAUGACGUGCUUGCACUGAUUUUAACAAUGAAGCGAGUGGCGAACUGGUGAGUAACACGUGGGAAAUCUGCCCAGAAGCAGGGGAUAACACUUGGAAACAGGUGCUAAUACCGUAUAACAACAAAAUCCGCAUGGAUUUUGUUUGAAAGGUGGCUUCGGCUAUCACUUCUGGAUGAUCCCGCGGCGUAUUAGUUAGUUGGUGAGGUAAAGGCCCACCAAGACGAUGAUACGUAGCCGACCUGAGAGGGUAAUCGGCCACAUUGGGACUGAGACACGGCCCAAACUCCUACGGGAGGCAGCAGUAGGGAAUCUUCCACAAUGGACGAAAGUCUGAUGGAGCAAUGCCGCGUGAGUGAAGAAGGGUUUCGGCUCGUAAAACUCUGUUGUUAAAGAAGAACACCUUUGAGAGUAACUGUUCAAGGNUUGACGGUAUUUAACCAGAAAGCCACGGCUAACUACGUGCCAGCAGCCGCGGU
RNAcentral lists this ribosomal RNA (502 nucleotides) under Levilactobacillus brevis. RNAcentral's name for it is "bacterial SSU rRNA". It matches the Rfam family "Bacterial small subunit ribosomal RNA", at positions 35 to 521 of the family's 1533-position model. Lineage: Bacteria; Bacillati; Bacillota; Bacilli; Lactobacillales; Lactobacillaceae. The record is from RNAcentral.